UGGCCCGGAUGAACAUCAACAGGCUUCAGGGCUUCUCGUUGGUUACCCCCUGCUUCUCUUGAUUACUAAGGUCUUCUUGGGCAUUGACCCGCCGAAGAAUAGGUUCGGCCUUCAAGGGUCCUCAAGGAUUAGCCCCUGCUUCUUAGUAACGAAGGUUACUAUUGCUCAUUGGGAGAAGAAUCAUCGUGACUAGUCAAAUGUCUUCCUGAAAUUGAAGCAUCCAUUCAAGGCAUGCCUUGGGACUCUUUCUACCAUAAUGGCAGAU
This 265-nucleotide long non-coding RNA is filed under the name Elaeis guineensis (African oil palm). RNAcentral describes it as "long non-coding RNA (EGUI_LNC039544)". Lineage: Eukaryota; Viridiplantae; Streptophyta; Magnoliopsida; Arecales; Arecaceae. The record is from RNAcentral.